CGUAGGGUGCAAGCGUUGCCCGGAUUUAUUGGGCGUAAAGGGCGCGUAGGCGGCCCGGCGCGUCCGCGGUGAAAGCUCCCGGCUCAACUGGGAGAGGUCCGCGGAAACGGUCGGGCUGGAGCAAGGUAGGGGGUCGUGGAAUUCCCGGUGUAGUGGUGGAAUGCGUAGAGAUCGGGAGGAACACCAGUGGCGAAGGCGGCGACCUGGACCUGUGCUGACGCUGAGGCGCGAAAGCGUGGGGAGCGAUCCGGAUUAGAUACCCGGGUAGUCCACGCCGUAAACGAUGCACACUAGGUGUCGGGGGUAUCGACCCCCUCGGCGCCGCAGCUAACGCAUUAAGUGUGCCGCCUGGGGACUACGGCCGCAAGGCUA
This 372-nucleotide ribosomal RNA is filed under the name uncultured organism. RNAcentral's name for it is "bacterial SSU rRNA". It matches the Rfam family "Bacterial small subunit ribosomal RNA", at positions 526 to 896 of the family's 1533-position model. The record is from RNAcentral.